UACGGAGGGUGCAAGCAUUAAUCGGAUUUAUUGGGCGUAAAGGGCGCGUAGGCGGGGAUGUCAGUCAGAUGUGAAAGCCCAAGGCUCAACCUUGGAACAGCAUUUGAAACUACAUCUCUAGAGGGUAGGCGGAGAAAACGGAAUUCCACGUGUAGCGGUGAAAUGCGUAGAUAUGUGGAAGAACACCAGUGGCGAAGGCGGUUUUCUAGGUUACACCUGACGCUGAGGCGCGAAAGCAAGGGGAGCAAACAGG
This 253-nucleotide ribosomal RNA is filed under the name uncultured bacterium. RNAcentral describes it as "partial 16S ribosomal RNA". It matches the Rfam family "Bacterial small subunit ribosomal RNA", at positions 524 to 776 of the family's 1533-position model. The record is from RNAcentral.